This is a long non-coding RNA of Telopea speciosissima, 586 nucleotides long. RefSeq lists it as uncharacterized. The record is from RefSeq and is a predicted model, not a curated record. The transcript is spliced from 3 exons. NCBI's taxonomy places the organism in Eukaryota, Viridiplantae, Streptophyta, Magnoliopsida, Proteales, Proteaceae.
CAUACAUUUAAAAACCAAAAACGGCAAACAUCAAGAGUAUUAUUCACGGAGGAGCAUAAAGAUCUGGUAAAAGAAGGAGCAACAUGGAUGAAGGAUAUAGCAACACAAUGCAUGGUGGUAGCAACAUUAAUCACUACGAUUAUGUUUGCAGCAGUGUUUACCAUACCAAGUUCAAAUAAGGGGAGUAGUUCUGAUAAUACGGGAGGAGAAGAACCCAAUUAUGUACAAGGCAAGUUUCCUAUAAUUUGUGUGGUAUCAAAUAUGUUAGCACUUUGUUCUUUAGUCGCUUCAAUGUUGAUGUUUCUAGCUAUUAUUACUUCACGAUAUGCGGAAGAAGACUUCUUGUCAACUUUGCCUCGAAUGUUGAUGUUGGGCCUUUUAUUUCUCUUCGUCUCUAUUGUGGGGAUGAUGAUAGAUUUUGUGGCAGCUAUCUUAUUUAUGCUUCGAUACGGUGUUCGUAUAUGGGUCUCCUUUCCAAUUAUCUUGCUAGCAAGUAUCCCAGUCACUCUAUAUGCUUUGGUGGAAUUUCCCCUAUUCAUACAAUUGAUGUUUACGACAUCCUCGUCAUAUAUCUUCGGGAAGAGAG